CGCGGCCUAUCAGCUUGUUGGUGAGGUAAUGGCUCACCAAGGCGACGACGGGUAGCCGGCCUGAGAGGGCGACCGGCCACACUGGGACUGAGACACGGCCCAGACUCCUACGGGAGGCAGCAGUGGGGAAUAUUGGGCAAUGGAGGAAACUCUGACCCAGCGACGCCGCGUGAGGGAUGAAGGCCUUCGGGUUGUAAACCUCUUUCAGUAGGGAAGAAGCGAAAGUGACGGUACCUACAGAAGAAGCACCGGCUAACUAUGUGCCAGCAGCCGCGGUAAUACAUAGGGUGCAAGCGUUGUCCGGAAUCAUUGGGCGUAAAGAGCUCGUAGGUGGUUCGAUACGUCGGAUGUGAAAAUCAGGGGCUCAACCCCUGACCUGCAUCCGAUACGGUCGAGCUAGAGUUUGGUAGGGGAGACUGGAAUUCCUGGUGUAGCGGUGGAAUGCGCAGAUAUCAGGAGGAACACCGAUGGCGAAGGCAGGUCUCUGGGCCAAUACUGACACUGAGGAGCGAAAGCGUGGGGAGCGAACAGGAUUAGAUACCCUGGUAGUCCACGCCGUAAACGGUGGGCGCUAGUUGUGCGAACCUUCCACGGUUUGUGCGACGCAGCUAACGCAUUAAGCGCCCCGCCUGGGGAGUACG
RNAcentral lists this ribosomal RNA (641 nucleotides) under uncultured Actinomycetes bacterium. Its description in RNAcentral is "bacterial SSU rRNA". It matches the Rfam family "Bacterial small subunit ribosomal RNA", at positions 232 to 884 of the family's 1533-position model. Lineage: Bacteria; Bacillati; Actinomycetota; Actinomycetes. The record is from RNAcentral.